UCAAACUCCUGAUCUCAAGUGAUUCACCCACCUCAGCCUCCCAAAGUGCUGGGAUUACAGGCAUGAGCCACUGUGUCUAGCUGCUCACGUAUUUAUUUCUCAUGCUUCUUUUGUUGUUGUUGUUGUUGUUGUUGUUGUUGUUUAGUUUUUGUUUCCUUAGGAGACAAGGUCUUGCUAAUUUCCCCGGUUGGAUUUGAACUCCUGGGCUCAAGCAAUCCUCCCACUUUGGCCUCUUGAGAAGCUGGGAUUACAGACACAUACCACCACGCCCAGCUCUAUCAUGCUUUCUGUGUUUCAUUCUUUCCUGAACUUCAGAUUUCCAUCAGGGGACAAAAUUUACACUUGUGAAAUUUCCUGUUACUGGAUAUAAUCUGCUGCUUCAGACUGCAUCACAACUUGAGCCAACAAACCUGGGCACCAUGAUAUGUGAUGAAUAAUUCACCAGAUGCAUGUGGCAUUUGGUACCAAAGAUCCGAGUCAGAGGGACUCCUUCAGGAGACCAGUCCCCUGUCCUCACCCUCACUCUGUGAAGAGAUCCACCUACGACCACAGGUCCUCAGACCAACCAGCCCAAGGAACAUCUCACCAACUUCAAAUCGGAUCUUCUUGGCUUAGCAGCUGAAGAUUGACGCUGCCCGAUCAUCUCAGAAGCCUCCCGGACCUUCAUGGACGCUUUGGGUAACUCUUACAGUGGAGGAAGACAGGAAUGUCAGGCCUCUGAGCCCGAGCUAAGCCAUCACAUCCC
Long non-coding RNA from Chlorocebus sabaeus (green monkey), 745 nucleotides. RefSeq lists it as uncharacterized. NCBI's taxonomy places the organism in Eukaryota, Metazoa, Chordata, Mammalia, Primates, Cercopithecidae. The record is from RefSeq and is a predicted model, not a curated record.